GGAGAGAAGGAGACCAGAUCUCCCUUCUCUCCCUGCCCUGCCCCUAUGUGAGAUACAGCAAGAAGGCGAGUAUCUGCAUACCAGAAAGGGGGCCCUCACAGGCACUGAAUCUGCCAGCACCUUGAUCUUGGACUUCCCAGCUCCCAAAUGGCUGGUUUGGUCUCUCCCAUCCUUAGCCUCAAGGUCACAGUAAGCGUACCAUGUUCAAGACAAGAGCCCACUGUGUGGGACAGUAUCUUCGCUGCACAGCCCUGAGGAGGCCUCCGAACAUGCCCCAUCACACCAGAUGCACUCAAAAACAUACGGUGUCAUUUACCCCCAUGUGCCUAGAGCCCUAGACUCUGCACUUUGCUGUGUGCCAACCCAGGCUAGCCAGCACGGCCUUCAGACCCAGCCCCAGCUCUCACGCAGCCGCACCUCCCUCCUGUCCGAGCAAAGUUCGUCUUGCCUUGACUGGACGUCCAAAGUUUCCACAAGAGCCUUCAGAUAUCCAGUGAGCUCCAAACUGGCCACACAGCCACCAGAGAGAUCCUGUUUUGAAGUGCUGGAUUAUGAUAUUUAUUUACACUGACCACAGAAUGUAUUUAUUUUUAACUUUCACUGUGGAAAUUUUCAAGCAUAUCCACAAGAAGAGAGACUAGAAUAAUGGACUUCCAUCUUCUCAUCCCCUGACUUCAAGAUCACCACUAACACAUGGACCACUGGCUUCCUUUCUACCUCGUCUCACCUCCCGCUCCAUUCCUACCCCCUGGAGUCUUUUGAAGCAAAUACUUGACAUCAUCUUAUGUUAACUGAACAUCAGAGUGAUUGAUUUCUUCCUAUAUAAAUCCAAUUGUUUCACUUCCCUGUUCAGAAUCCUUCAAACUUAGUAUAAAAGCCAAGCUCCAUUCUGUGGCAUCUUGGGUGGGACCUGGUCCCUUCUUGGGCCCGCCCUGGUCCCUUCUUGGGCCCCUCCCCUGCUUGUCUCCAGCCCCGGCCUUCUCGCUGCUCCCUAAACACAGAGGCAGGCCCACCGAGCCUCCGCACCUUCCCUGACGCCUUCUAGCAGCCUGGACCCUCCUCCACCAGCAUCCUCAAGGCCCCUCCCUCACUUCUGUCACACCUUUAAUCAACUGCCACCCUCCCUGAGAACCCUUCCCUGAAUCCCUAUCUGGACCAUAGCAAGGACUCGACAAAUAUUUAAUGACUGAAUGCAUGUAAUAAAAGUCAAUAACCCUGUGAAACCAGGGAGAGAAGACAGAGUUGUUCCUGUUAUUCAGAUGAGAAAACUGAGGCUCAGCAUGGUUAAGUGAAUUGCCCAAAGACACACAGCUCUUCUUUUUUUUUUUUGAGACGGAGUCUCUCUGUGUUGCCCAGGCUGGAGUGCACUGGCGCCAUCUCGGCUCACUGCAAGCUCCGCCUCCCGGGUUCACGCCAUUCUCCUGCCUCAGCCUCCCGAGUAGCUGGGACUACAGAUGCCUGCCACCACACCUGGCUACUUUUUUUGUAUUUUUUUAGUAGAGACGGGGUUUCGCCAUGUUAGCCAGGAUGGUCCCGAUCUCCUGACCUCGUGAUCCGCCCGCCUCGGCCUCCCAAAGUGCUGGGAUUACAGGCGUGAGCCACUGCGCCCAGUCGACACACAGCUCUUAAAUGGUGGAAAAGACUUUGAACACAGGUCUUGACUCCAAAUUCCAUGCAUUUUCCAUUCCUGUGUUGCUUCUCUGAAAUGAAACGUUGCUUCAGUUGAUAUAAUUAAGACACAGGUUUACAUCAAAUGUAUUCAUUCAUUCAACAAACAGUAUCUCACUGUUUGAACGCUCAGUAUGUGGCAGGCACUGUUCUGAGCAGCAGAGAAACUGGAGUGUGGUGGGCAGAAUAGUGUCCCCCAAAGAGGUCCAUGUCCUAAUCCCCAUCACCUGUGACUAUGUUAGGUUACAUGGGAGGUGGAAUAGGGCUCAUCAGCUGACCUUCAUAUGAGGACAUUAUCUUGCAUUCCUUGGGUGGGCCCAGUGUCCUCACAAGGCUCCUCAACAGUGAAAGAGAGAGGCAGGGGAGUGGGAGAGAGAUUUAAAAUGCUACUCUGCUGGCUCUGAAGACAAAGGAAGGGGCUACAAGCCAAGGAAUGCGAGUGGUCUCUGAAAAAGGCAAGGAAACAAGAUUCUGCCCUUGUACCUCCAGGAAGGAUUAAGGUCUGCAGAUAUUUUAAUCUUAUUCCAGUGAUACUUAUUUCUUUUUUUUUUUUUAAUCUUUUUAUGUUUUUGUUUUUGUUUUGAGACAAGGUCUCAUUCUGUUGCCCAGGCUGGAGUGCAGUGGUGCAAUCUCGGCUCACUGCAGCCUCAACCUCCUGGGCUCAAGUGGUCCUCCUGUCUCGGUCUCCUGAGUAGCUGGGACUACAGCUGCAUGUCACCACACCUGGCUAAUUUUUUAAAAACUUUUUGUAGAGAUGGGAGUCUCAUUAUAUUGCCCAGGCUGGUCUUGAACUCCUGGGCUCAAGUGAUCCUCCCAUCUCAGCCUCCAAGUAUCUGGGACCACAGGCAUGAGACCCAUUUCUGACUUCUGACCUUCAUAGCUCUAAGGGAGUCUAUCUGUGUUGUUUUAAGCCACUGAGCGUGUGGCAAUCUGUUACAGCAACAACUGGAAACAAAAAAAGAAAGUGAAGAAGGUAACAAGGUCCCUGCCCUCAAAAAGCCUCCUCUUUUUUUUGGAGUGAGGGGGAGUCUGGCACCUUCCACCGGGCCACUCUGGAUGCAGAGGUCUUCCUACCACAGGUCCGUGCUCACUGCAGCCCAGCUGCCUCUGUUAGGACAGGCUGUCAGCGCCUCAGGAACAGGUUCUUCUGUUACCAAACAAAGUCUAUUUGCUAAUUUCCUAUUCAAGAGUGACACUCAUAGGCUUUAUAGGGCUUUUCUACUGUAUUUUAGCCAGACGUAGGAAAUUAGCUCCAUAAAAGAAAAGAAGAGGACAGAAGGGAAAGGGAGUGGAAGGGAGGAGAGGAAACAAAACUAGUUGAAGUGCUUCUUAGAUUCUCGGCAAAUCCACCUCCAGACCCCCUGAAACUCCUGUCUCAGCGGCUCUGUGUUUUGGCCCCACGUCCUCUGAGAGUUGGCAGAAUGGAAACUUGGCCUCCACCCAAGAGGCACAGACAGUGCCUCAUAAUUAGAAGCUACUCAGGGCAUCCCAGACUAAAACACACAUCAGCAAAAUGUCAUUGCCUGACCUGGGAAGGUGUUCAUCU
This 3214-nucleotide long non-coding RNA is filed under the name Homo sapiens (human). RNAcentral describes it as "HSALNT0392912". The record is from RNAcentral. Lineage: Eukaryota; Metazoa; Chordata; Mammalia; Primates; Hominidae.